AUGGUGUCCUUCACCCAUCCCACCUUCCAUCCUGGCCUCUGCAUUUCUAGCGUUUCAUCCUUUAUUUUAGACAAACUGAUUGUUUUCUCUGCAAAACAUCUCCCCUCCAACCCACUUGCACCUUCCUUCGUUCUUCUGCACCUUCAACAUGCCCUUGUUGAUUUCCCUUCUCCAGAGGCAAAUGCAAUCCUGACAAUUAGUUAUUGACGGGACAAAUACAUCCUGCAGGCAAAGGCGACGUGGAGUUAUGGUUAUUUUGGACAGGGCCAAACUGAUAAGGGGGCUCUCUCCUCAGAAGAUUGUCUCUGUGUUUGGAAGUUCACAAUCCACUCUAUGGGAUUAAACAGAAGGAGAAUAAAUUAUCCUUGCUUUAUCCUUUGAGUAUCUGUUGAAAAGAUCAGCGUUGAGUGCAUACUGGAUCCUCUUUACUUAGUUUAGACAGGUGAGGAAAAGCAACCCUGUGUCAG
This 467-nucleotide long non-coding RNA is filed under the name Macaca fascicularis (crab-eating macaque). RNAcentral's name for it is "lncRNA (ENSMFAG00000050182.1)". The record is from RNAcentral. Lineage: Eukaryota; Metazoa; Chordata; Mammalia; Primates; Cercopithecidae.